UCUUGUUAAAAUGUAGCUUCUGAUUCAGCAGAUCUGGGUUGAGGCUUAAGAUUCUGCAUUUCUAACAAGUUC
Molecule: microRNA precursor, 72 nt
Filed under: Chlorocebus sabaeus (green monkey)
Lineage: Eukaryota; Metazoa; Chordata; Mammalia; Primates; Cercopithecidae
Description: miRNA (ENSCSAG00000021113.1)
Source: RNAcentral